GACGAACGCUGGCGGCGUGCUUAACACAUGCAAGUCGAGCGGAAAGGCCUCUUCGGGGGUACUCGAGCGGCGAACGGGUGAGUAACACGUGAGCAACCUGCCCUUCACUUUGGGAUAACCAUCGGAAACGGUGGCUAAUACCGGAUACGACACACCAGGGCAUCUUGUGUGUGUGGAAAGUUUUUCGGUGGGGGAUGGGCUCGCGGCCUAUCAGCUUGUUGGUGGGGUGAUGGCCUACCAAGGCGAUGACGGGUAGCCGGCCUGAGAGGGCGACCGGCCACACUGGGACUGAGACACGGCCCAGACUCCUACGGGAGGCAGCAGUGGGGAAUAUUGCGCAAUGGGCGAAAGCCUGACGCAGCGACGCCGCGUGAGGGAUGACGGCCUUCGGGUUGUAAACCUCUUUCAGCAGGGACGAAGCGAUAGUGACGGUACCUGCAGAAGAAGCACCGGCCAACUACGUGCCAGCAGCCGCUGUAAAAC
Molecule: ribosomal RNA, 483 nt
Filed under: uncultured bacterium
Lineage: Bacteria
Description: bacterial SSU rRNA
Rfam family: Bacterial small subunit ribosomal RNA
Source: RNAcentral